GGUCCUAAAACAAUGCAAGUCGAGCGGAUGAAGGGAGCUUGCUCCUGGAUUCAGCGGCGGACGGGUGUAGUAAUGCCUAGGAAUCUGCCUGGUAGUGGGGGAUAACGUCCGGAAACGGGCGCUAAUACCGCAUACGUCCUGAGGGAGAAAGUGGGGGAUCUUCGGACCUCACGCUAUCAGAUGAGCCUAGGUCGGAUUAGCUAGUUGGUGGGGUAAAGGCCUACCAAGGCGACGAUCCGUAACUGGUCUGAGAGGAUGAUCAGUCACACUGGAACUGA
RNAcentral lists this ribosomal RNA (278 nucleotides) under Pseudomonas aeruginosa. RNAcentral describes it as "partial 16S ribosomal RNA". It matches the Rfam family "Bacterial small subunit ribosomal RNA", at positions 55 to 322 of the family's 1533-position model. The record is from RNAcentral. Lineage: Bacteria; Pseudomonadati; Pseudomonadota; Gammaproteobacteria; Pseudomonadales; Pseudomonadaceae.